GUGCUCCCUUCAGAGCACAUAUACUAAAAUUGGAUCAAUAAGAGAAGAUUAGCAUGGCCCCAGGGUAAGGAUGACAUGCAAAUUCGUGAAGUGUUCCAUAGUUAA
Mustela putorius furo (domestic ferret) is the source of this 105-nucleotide small nuclear RNA. The record is from Ensembl. Lineage: Eukaryota; Metazoa; Chordata; Mammalia; Carnivora; Mustelidae.